AGCUUUAACAACAACCACUGUUUGUUAGACACUAUGCCUAUGUUUGCUUGCCAGUGUGUGUCAAGAGGUGGAAGGAAGUGGUAAAUGAUGAGUUCAGUCUUCUUGAAUUAAGGAGUAUUUGGAACAUCCAAGACAGACUAUUUCAGCACACCUGGCCAAUGACACACCCUACCAACAGCUGUGCCAUUUUAGGUUCAAGCAGGACCUUUGUAACACUUAUAAAAACAAAGUUUGAAUUUUCAAAAAAGGGGAGAGUUGUUUCCCUCCAUGAAUCUGAGCAAAAAACCUCUCGCCAAGUCA
This 300-nucleotide long non-coding RNA is filed under the name Homo sapiens (human). RNAcentral describes it as "HSALNT0231957". Lineage: Eukaryota; Metazoa; Chordata; Mammalia; Primates; Hominidae. The record is from RNAcentral.